This 602-nucleotide ribosomal RNA is filed under the name uncultured bacterium. Its description in RNAcentral is "bacterial SSU rRNA". It matches the Rfam family "Bacterial small subunit ribosomal RNA", at positions 45 to 685 of the family's 1533-position model. The record is from RNAcentral. RNAcentral also lists the same sequence under 1 other name.
GGCCUAACACAUGCAAGUCGAACGUGAAGCCACCUUCGGGUGGUGGAAAGUGGCAGACGGGUGAGUAACGCGUGGGAACGUGCCCUUCGGUUCGGGAUAACCCAGGAAACUUGGGCUAAUACCGGAUACGCCCUUCGGGGGAAAAAUUUAUUGCCGAAGGAUCGGCCCGCGUCGGAUUAGCUUGUUGGUAGGGUAAAAGCCUACCAAGGCGACGAUCCGUAGCUGGUCUGAGAGGAUGAUCAGCCACACUGGGACUGAGACACGGCCCAGACUCCUACGGGAGGCAGCAGUGGGGAAUAUUGGACAAUGGGCGAAAGCCUGAUCCAGCCAUGCCGCGUGGGUGAAGAAGGCCUCAGGGUUGUAAAUCCCUUUCAGCGGGGAAGAUAAUGACGGUACCGCAGAAGAAGCCCCGGCUAACUCCGUGCCAGCAGACCGCGGUAAUACGGAGGGGGCUAGCGUUGUUCGGAAUUACUGGGCGUAAAGCGCGCGUAGGCGGACCUGCAAGUCGGGGGUGAAAGCCCGAGGCUCAACCUCGGAACUGCCUUCGAUACUGGGGUCUUGAGUCCGGGAGAGGUGAGUGGAAUUCCUAGUGUAGAGGUGAA